UACAGAGGUGGCAAGCGUUGUUCGGAAUUACUGGGCGUAAAGGGCUCGUAGGCGGCCAACUAAGUCGGAUGUGAAAUCCCCAGGCUUAACCUGGGAAUUGCAUCCGAUACUGGAUGGCUUGAAUCCGGGAGAGGGAUGCGGAAUUCCAGGUGUAGCGGUGAAAUGCGUAGAUAUCUGGAGGAACACCGGUGGCGAAGGCGAGUCCCUGGACAACUCCUGACACUGAGGCACGAAAGCGUGGGGAGCAAACAGG
RNAcentral lists this ribosomal RNA (253 nucleotides) under uncultured bacterium. RNAcentral describes it as "partial 16S ribosomal RNA". It matches the Rfam family "Bacterial small subunit ribosomal RNA", at positions 524 to 776 of the family's 1533-position model. The record is from RNAcentral.